GAUGCCCUGCUGUGCGCGUGAUGCGGUUAAGUUUUGAGCCAACACCUAACGUUACGGGGGUCGCGUUCUAGUGGAGGGGAUGCGGUAACCUGCAAAGGUUUGCUGAACCGAAGACAGACUCCCACCUGCGAGAGCAGGUUCAAAAUUUAAGUAGCACACGGCACAGCGGGGAAUUU
Molecule: non-coding RNA, 176 nt
Filed under: Anaerolineae bacterium
Lineage: Bacteria; Bacillati; Chloroflexota; Anaerolineae
Description: 6S RNA
Rfam family: 6S / SsrS RNA
About the family: E. coli 6S RNA was the first non coding RNA to be sequenced, but its function was unknown until recently. It consists of 184 nucleotides that fold into an extended hairpin structure with a large single-stranded internal bulge. The 6S RNA specifically associates with RNA polymerase holoenzyme containing the sigma70 specificity factor.
Source: RNAcentral